UAGCAGAUUCCGCAGAUGCCACCGUUGGAACCAAUGAAGCAAAUGAUUGACCCAUCAUAUCAUCCGAAGAAACAGAAAAUACCAAAAAGUUCGAAUUCACAGCUAAUAACAUUGAUUCAAUUGGCAUUGACAUAAUAGGAAUAUUUCCAUAUCAUCCGAAGAAACAGAAAAUACCAAAAAGUUUGAAUUCACAGCUAAUAACAUUGAUUCAAUUGACAUUGACAUAAUAGGAAUAUUUCGUCUAUUAAGGAGGAUUCCCCGAAUACCUGGAAUAGAGAUAAUCAUAGAAAAUGUGAAAUAUUUGAUAGGAUCCAUUUCGAGAACGUAGAAUGUAAGAGAAAUUCAAAUGUGAAACAAUACGUCAGCUCUUCUAUAUCCUUCAAUUAUUGAAGAAAUAUGAUUUUUUAUACUCAUGUUUCCCUUCCCAUCCUGCUCCGCCAAGUGUUGCGCUCGGGUUAACCAAGCCCUCAAGUGCCGUAAUUUAGCCUUGGAGACAUUGGGUUUGUUGGCAUUAUAGGCAGGUUUGCUGCCGAAGCGGUCAAUAAUGAUUUCCACCAUUUCACUUGGUGAUGGAAGUUCAUCCAAGUUGCGGUGCCACUUACUUAGAACAAGGCGUGCCUUCUCUGAUUCAAUUAGGGGGCUAAUCUGUUCGGCCAAGAGAUCUUUUUGUUCUUUAAUCUAUUCCAAUUCAAGUUGAUCCAAGGCUCUUUCGAUCUCGGACCGAUCCCCUGGCUCUUCUUCAGCCGCGGAUAUGUUGAGAUCAAAGGAAGGUUUUUUCGAUAAGCUAGGACCACUUCCAUCGCCUCCGACGGAAAGAGGAAUUAUAUCCAUUAAAGAAAGCCAAAAAUCCAGGAAGUCACUAAGAAAUGAAGUAAGGAAAACGGAUUCAAAAGAAAAGUCCCAAUUACAGUUUAAAAGGAUAGGAGUAAGUAAAAGGACAGUGAGACUGAGAAAAAUUCGUUUCAAAAGAGAGAAAAACAAAGCUGACGUUCGUUCUCUUCCUCUGUGCAUCUCUGUGAUGGGGCUCAUCAUAAGCUUUUUUUUCUCAAGCUCAUCAUAAGCUUUUUUUAUCCUCUUCUUCGUGUUC
RNAcentral lists this long non-coding RNA (1087 nucleotides) under Nicotiana benthamiana. RNAcentral describes it as "long non-coding RNA (NBEN_LNC014781)". Lineage: Eukaryota; Viridiplantae; Streptophyta; Magnoliopsida; Solanales; Solanaceae. The record is from RNAcentral.